GAUGGCAUUUCUAGACCAGUGACCGCAGGCUGGUCGUCCCACUCUCCAUUCCCUCCGUUGACAGAAUCUCAUCAAAGACUCAAACCCGAUGUCAACUCCGGGCACAUGCAUUCUUUGGAAGCACAGCCCGCAGCUCUUCCAGUGUGGGGUUCACACUGGACACGGGGACAGGUGCUGUAUAGUUCGCCGCUUGGAUGGUCAGGGUGGAUGGACUGGCGCCAUGAGGCGUUCUCCUUCGGGAAUGGAGCGUCCCUUAACGGGAACUUAAUAAAAUGCAAAGGAAUGUCUUUGCUCUGGUUUGGGAGACGUGAGAAUGCCCGGGGUGAGUUCUCCGUGUUUCCGUGGCCAAGGUGGUAAACCCUACAGAGACCUCCUUCUCAACAAAGAUGCUGAAGAUGUUUCUGAAGGUCCACUAAGGCUCGUGGGUUUUGGUUGCCCACUGGGGGAGCCUCUGAAAAGGAUUGCUGGUCAUCUCCAAUUUCAACAGAAUUCCAGAAGCAAUUCUUCUGGAUAAUCAGCAUUUCUGUAGAGCUUCUGAAGGCAUCUUCUUGAUCUUCCAAGGUCAAGGACCGCCCCCCCUCCCCUGAGCCAGGCAUAUUUGAAUUACAGCUUCCAGCCCUGGGUAUCGGCACGCCCUCAGACUGCUCAGAUAUCCUACUGAAGCCCUAGACUCCGGACUAAUGUCUUUUAGAACUAGAAUCCCUUCCUUGAUUAAACCAAGAGCGAGCUGUGCCUCAUCUAGUAUUCUGAACAGCCGGGAAUUUGCACCACAAAACAGAAUCUUGAGUUCUGGAAGGUGCCAAUGUUGGAGCAUUUAUAUGUCAUCAGAGAACCUAUUACAGCUUGAGGCCAUUGUACACAAAUGCCAGCGACCGUGUCCGUGAUCACAAAGGUACCUUCCAAGUCGAGGCUCAGGAUGGCUCCUGGCCAAGCCGACAUCUUCCACCACUGAGAUAACACACACGCCGGGAUUUGACAGAUGCCACAAUCCCAAGCUGAGAAGACGCGCUUCACAAACAAUUUGAACGUUGUAGGACCCUGGCCUCAGAUUCCUCCUCCUUGUUACAUGACAGACCUUAUGUUUCUUUUCCUCCCUGGAAGAGAGAGGGAAGAAAACAACAACAUAGUUCUGGAGAAGGUAGCUUGUUCCCUCGACACCGGAUCGUAAAAUUCCUCGGAGACAUUUCCCAGAAGCUGGAGAAAUCAUGCGGAUCUCUGGGACUGAACGAUGUUCUCCAGCCAGACACCAGACGUAUCUAAUAUCCCUGGGGACUUGGGUUUCGCGUGACUGGGUAUUUUGUUUGCUUUUACAAAAACAACUCUGUCUUCUCACUGUUGUGAUCACAAGGAGAAUUUCUGAAGCAAUUCUUGUCUCCACAUCAAGGCGGGCUUACCGCUCGUUCCCCAGGAGUUUCGUUGUUACCCAAUAUUACGGAUUUUCAAGAAAAUCGUGUGACGUUCUGUCUCAAGAAGGGCAGCGUCUAAUUUCGCCAGGAGGCUUUUAGAAACUUCUGGAAAUGCAUCGAACAAAACUGCUUCUGGGGAAAACAGCAGAGAUGCUUUAUACGUGCUGACAGCUCCAGGAGCCCCUGGGAAGUUUUCUGCCCGUCUGACUGUUUCCAAGGAGAGGGGUUUCAUUUCUGUGAUGAAACCAAAUAACGAGAUCCCUCCAAACAGAAAUAUAGCCUCCUUCUCUCUCUUCACGGAGGCCUAAAAUCCACUGAAAUUGUUUAUCACCUCCCGCCCUUGGUUUCCUUAGAUAAAUAAAUUUCUUAUUCUUGUGGGGA
This is a long non-coding RNA of Neofelis nebulosa (Clouded leopard), 1787 nucleotides long. RefSeq lists it as uncharacterized. The record is from RefSeq and is a predicted model, not a curated record. The transcript is spliced from 2 exons. NCBI's taxonomy places the organism in Eukaryota, Metazoa, Chordata, Mammalia, Carnivora, Felidae.